CCUACGGGGGGCUGCAGUGGGGAAUCUUGCACAAUGGGCGCAAGCCUGAUGCAGCCAUGCCGCGUGUAUGAAGAAGGCCUUCGGGUUGUAAAGUACUUUCAGUCGUGAGGAAGGUGUUAAGGUUAAUAACCUUAGCAAUUGACGUUAGCGACAGAAGAAGCACCGGCUAACUCCGUGCCAGCAGCCGCGGUAAUACGGAGGGUGAGAGCGUUAACCGGAAUUACUGGGCGUAAAGGGAACGCAGGCGGUAGAUUGAGUUGGAAGUGAGAACCCCGGGCUUAACCUGGGAAUGGCAGUCAAGACUGGUUAGCUAGAGUCUUGUAGAGGGGGGUAGAGUUCAAUGUGUAGCGGUGAAAUGCGUAGAGAUGUGGAGGGAUACCGGUGGCGAAGGCGGCCACCUGGACAAAGACUGACGCUCAGGAGCGAAAGCGUGAGGAGCAAACAGGAUUAGAUACCCCGGUAGUC
This 465-nucleotide ribosomal RNA is filed under the name uncultured Arsenophonus sp. RNAcentral describes it as "bacterial SSU rRNA". It matches the Rfam family "Bacterial small subunit ribosomal RNA", at positions 338 to 795 of the family's 1533-position model. The record is from RNAcentral. Lineage: Bacteria; Pseudomonadati; Pseudomonadota; Gammaproteobacteria; Enterobacterales; Morganellaceae.